CAUGCAAGUCGAACGGCAGCGCGGGAGCAUCCUGGCGGCGAGUGGCGAACGGGUGAGUCAUCAUCGGAACGUGUCCUGUAGUGGGGGAUCGCCCGGCGAAAGCCGGAUUAAUACCGCAUACGAUCUACGGAUGAAAGCGGGGGAUCGCAAGACCUCGCGCUAUAGGGGCGGCCGAUGGCGGAUUAGCUAGUUGGUGGGGUAAAGGCCCACCAAGGCGACGAUCCGUAGCUGGUCUGAGAGGACGACCAGCCACACUGGGACUGAGACACGGCCCAGACUCCUACGGGAGGCAGCAGUGGGGAAUUUUGGACAAUGGGCGCAAGCCUGAUCCAGCAAUGCCGCGUGUGUGAAGAAGGCCUUCGGGUUGUAAAGCACUUUUGUCCGGAAAGAAAUCCUCUGGGUUAAUACCCCGGGGGGAUGACGGUACCGGAAGAAUAAGCACCGGCUAACUACGUGCCAGCAGCCGCGGUAAUACGUAGGGUGCGAGCGUUAAUCGGAAUUACUGGGCGUAAAGCGUGCGCAGGCGGUGAUGUAAGACCGAUGUGAAAUCCCCGGGCUUAACCUGGGAACUGCAUUGGUGACUGCAUCGCUGGAGUAUGGCAGAGGGGGGUAGAAUUCACGUGUAGCAGUGAAAUGCGUAGAGAUGUGGAGGAAUACCGAUGGCG
RNAcentral lists this ribosomal RNA (665 nucleotides) under Burkholderia sp. Ms105. Its description in RNAcentral is "bacterial SSU rRNA". It matches the Rfam family "Bacterial small subunit ribosomal RNA", at positions 54 to 717 of the family's 1533-position model. Lineage: Bacteria; Pseudomonadati; Pseudomonadota; Betaproteobacteria; Burkholderiales; Burkholderiaceae. The record is from RNAcentral.